RNAcentral lists this ribosomal RNA (253 nucleotides) under uncultured bacterium. Its description in RNAcentral is "partial 16S ribosomal RNA". It matches the Rfam family "Bacterial small subunit ribosomal RNA", at positions 524 to 776 of the family's 1533-position model. The record is from RNAcentral.
UACGUAGGGGGCAAGCGUUGUCCGGAAUCAUUGGGCGUAAAGCGCGCGUAGGCGGCCCGGUAAGUCCGCUGUGAAAGUCGGGGGCUCAACCCUCGGAUGCCGGUGGAUACUGUCGGGCUUGAGUGCGGAAGAGGAGAGUGGAAUUCCUGGUGUAGCGGUGAAAUGCGCAGAUAUCAGGAAGAACACCCGUGGCGAAGGCGGCUCUCUGGGACGGUACUGACGCUGAGACGCGAAAGCGUGGGGAGCGAACAGG